This 6127-nucleotide long non-coding RNA is filed under the name Elaeis guineensis (African oil palm). RNAcentral describes it as "long non-coding RNA (EGUI_LNC013064)". Lineage: Eukaryota; Viridiplantae; Streptophyta; Magnoliopsida; Arecales; Arecaceae. The record is from RNAcentral.
GUGUGGAUCUGGGUUAGCUCUUCAUUCAAUAAAGCACAAGCGUGUGGGUAUCUCGCACCGGGGCUGCUCUCCUGCUGGGAUUGAAGCUUAAGGCGACUGUGGGUUCUUCAGACGACCUUCGUGACGACAUGAUGGAUGGUUUCCAGGUCGUGGAAAGCCGUCGGCGCCCAUUAUUCAGGAGAAGCUCGGGCCCCUGGGAGCUGUAGCGAGUCCUGGCAGCCCGUUUCUUAGGUAUGGGUGGUAUGAGACGGAUGUCGAUGGAGGAUUCUUCCUUUCGGCUUUGGGUUUUCCUGGAAGGGAGAGUGGUGGGGACUCUGUGGGCUUCAUGAGGUGUCUAUUGCUCGGUUGGGUGAGUUUCUGAAUUCUUAGUUGUCUUUAUGUAGGAUGUCGUUGUUCUGUCGUUUUAUUUUGGUGACUAAACUCGAAGCUUCGAGAGAGCUCGCAUUCAGCUUUGCAUUAAAAUUAUAGAUGCAAUCUAAUAUAUAUAUAUAUAUAUAUAUAUAUAUAUAUAUAUAUAUAUAUAUAUAUAUAUAUAUAUAUAUAUAUAAAAGUAGAAAUUGAAAGAAAAUUUAUUAACAAUUGAAGCUGUCCACGUAAGGAGCAACUUCUCACCUAUGAAUGCCAUCUAGAUUAUAUUAAUUUUCAGUAUGCCAUGUGUCUUCGAUUAUUUUAUCUAACAAUCUUUAAGUAUUGAAUGAUAGCAUUAUGUUAUUAAAAAAAGUGCAUUGAAGCUUAUUUAUAUGUAUUAAAUUUUGUUAUGAAAGUAUGAUAUUAUUGUACUCUUGCAAUUAAAAUCCACUUAGAAUAUGGAUCGACAUCAGAAAUUUGAAUCUACAUUAUGUUCUUAUUUAUAAAUAAUUUUUGAGAAAAAUGAUCAAUUACCUAGAACCCACGUGCAAUGCGCGGGCUCAAAACUAGUUUUAUAAAUUUCAGAGACCAUUUGAUCUCAUACCAAAUGCUGCUAUUGUUGAUAGAAAAAUAUAAAUUUUGUAUUAAAUUCUUUGUUGCCCUUACGUAAUUUGCCGGUAAUUUUGUUGUUUGGUUUGUUGUUGGGCUUAUAUUCUGCAUUAAUAUGGUGAGUGCAAGAGAGGAUUUAAUCUCAUACGAGAUGCCGUCAGUGGUAAUAGAAAUGCGUGGUUUCUUUUGUUUCGUACUAAAUUCUUUGUUGCCCUCACAUAACUUGCUGUAAAUUUGUCAUUUGGUUUUGGUAAUGAACCUGAAGGUUUGAGAAAGUUCUUGUAUUUAGUUUUGCAUGAGUGUCGUGGAUGCAAUUUUACAGAUUUGAGAGAGGGUUUAAUCUCUCACAUAGUGCCUCUAUUGGUAAUGGAAAUUGAUGGUUUCUUCUGUUUCGUAUUAAAUUCUUUGUUGCCUUUAUAUAACUUGCUGUUGGCUCGUCGUUUGGUUUUGGCAAUGAAGAAUCUUCGAGAGACAACUUGCAUUCAAUUUCACACUGAUAGGUGCAGUUUUUCACCCAUUUGAGAGAGGAUUUAAUCUGAUACUGGUGGUAGGAGUGCAUGUGGUUUCUAUUCUUUCAUACCAAAUUCUUUGUUACCUUUAUGUAGCUUGCCGUUAGUUUGUUCUUUGGUUUUGAUAAUAAACCAGAAUCUUUAAGAUAUAUCUUGCAUUCACUUUCACACUAAUAUUGUGGGUGCAAUUUCCCAGAUUUGACAUUAGGAUUUAAUCUCAUACCGAGUGCCGCUAUUGGUAGUACAAAUGAAUGGUCUCUUUUGUUUUGAACUAAAUUUUUUGUUUCCUUUAUAUAACUUGCUAUUAGUUUGUUGUUUGGUUUUGGUAACGAACCUGAAACUUUGAGAGAAAACUAACAUGGAGUUUUGCAUGAAUGUUGUGGAUACAAUUUCACAGAUUUGAGAGAGGAUUUAAUCUCAUAUCGAGCGCCUGCUAUUGGUAAUAGGAAUAAAUGAUUUCUUUCACUUUAUAGGUUUGUUGCCUUCAUAAAGCUGGCUGUUUGUUUGUCUAGAUUUUGGUAAUUAAGCCCGAAGCUUCGAGAGAGAACUUGCAUUCAAUUUUGCAUUAAUAUUGUGGGUGCAAUUUCACAUAUUUGAGAGGACAUAUCUCAUACAAGGUGCUGCUAUCAGUAAUAAUAAUGCAUGGUUUAUUUCAUUUCCUACUAAAUUCUUUGUUAUCUUUAUAUAACUUGGCAUUAGCUUGUCGUUUUGCAUUAGUAAUAAGCAGGAAGCUUCGAGAGAGGUCACAUACAAUUUUGCAUUAAUGUUGUGGGUGCAGUUUCAUAGAUUUGAAAGAGGACUAAAUCUCAUACAGAGUGCCCCUGUUGGGUAAUAGAAAUGCUUGGUUUGUUUCCUACCAAAGUCUUUGUUGCCUCUUUAUAACUUGCCAUUAGUUUGUCGUUUGGGUUUGGUAAUGAACCUGAAGCUUUGAGAAAGAGCUCACACUUAAUAUUGCAUUAAUUUUGGGAGUGCGAUUUUACAAAUUUGAGGGAGGACUUAGUGCUGCAUCGAGUGCAUUACCAGUAAUAGCAAUACAUGGUUUCAUUUGUUUCACACUAAAUUCUUUGUUGCCUUUUGAUAGCUUGCCAUUGAUUUGUCUUUUGGUUUUGUGAAAGAACUGGAAGCUAGCAUUCAGUUUUGCAUUAAUAUUGUGGAUGCAAUUUUAUACGUGUAUCAAUAUCAGUUGGUUUAUUGUUUAUUUUUGGUGGAUGAACCUGAAGCUUCGAGAGAGAUCUUGUAAUUGAUUUUGUGUUUAAUAUUGCUGACAUAAUUUCAUAGGUUUGAGAGAGAACUUAAUAUGUGAUUUCUUUUGGUUUUACAGGAGUUUCAUGAUUUAUUGUUACUGAAUAAAAACCAGCACCAUGUGUAGGUUAAAUAUCAUAGAACUUAACACUUCAUGAUUUGCUCAGCCAAUAGAAAGAUAUUUACAUAUAGAGUUCUCAGCUAGUGGUCAGAAAGCCAUUGCCAAGAUUUUUUAUGAAAAUUUACAUGGAAUUUAAAUUAUCAAAGAGUAGCAAUGUAUUUUCUUAUUCAUGAAAUUUCUAAAUUACUUGGUUGAUAUAUGUUCUCCAUGUGAUGAUCAGUCUUUGACUUGUGUCAUCAAACUUGUGGAUCAUAUUGAUUGGAGAAAAAUGCCAACCCUGAAUAAAUUGGCAUAUUAUUAGUGAUUUUCCUGAAGGAGAGCUAGUGGUUGAUUUGCUUAAUUCUCAUCCACCAAUGGUCUUGAACUCAUCAUUUCAAGAAGAUUGCUUCUCUUGCUUUGUCCUCCCACCAAGAGCAUAAUUAAAUCUUAACAAAUAAAAAAAUACUGUAAUUUCUAAAAGAUAAAUCCUUUGUAAGAAUGUCAUUUUUGCAUACAUGUAUUAGGUUAAACAAAUAAGCAAUGCUUUAAUAUGGUUUUCUCUACCUUCUUUGCCUCCAUAAAGAGCUUCGUGGAACUAUUUCCUGAAAAGUAGUGUAAUUUUUCUUUUUUUGGAUGAACUGAGAACUAGUGCAAUAAAUUUAGUCUUAGUAUGGGCCAAUUAGAUAUACAAAACUACGUGUUCUAGCAAACUUUUUUUUCUUUUCAGAUAGAGGAGGGAAACCCAAUAGAAGAAGAAGUGCUUGGACCAGGCCAGGGUUUUUACUUCAGAACAUCUCCCUAAAGUCGAAAUCUUGCAUGACAAAACCCAAGCUGCAUAUACUUUCAUUUUUCUUUGGUAAUGCAACAUGCAUAAAAGGCGAAAGAGGGUGCAAAAAGUUCCACUUCUCUACCUUCUUGCUGUUUUAUUGCUCUUUGCCAGCUAGUUAUCUCUAGUGUGGCUUCUUUCUUUUACCCUUUCUCCUGUCUUCCUAUUAAAACAGAAAUUAAUUGAUUAUGUCAACUAUUUUUCUAUAUGUAAAUAGGAUGAAAACCAGCAUCAAGCUCAUAAUUAUAACAUCGAGAUACUCAACUGAAGAAAAAGGCAAAAACGCUCCAAGAAAUUCAGGGGGUGUUUGGUUUGCAACCGAAAUCAGAAUGAGAAUGGAAAUCGAAAUGGCUUGAAAUCGAAAUCGGAAUGGCCAAAUCCUCCAAAGUGUUUGGUUUGUGACCGAAAUCGAAAUCGGAAUCGAAAUCGGAAUUGAAAUUUGAAUCCAUAGAGGAGAGUAGGGAUUGAGUUCUAUAUAGAUUGAGCCAUUCUCAUUCCACCCCGGAAUCGGAAUCGGAAUGGGACUCCUCCCAACCAAACGGUUAGAAUGGGAGUCACCUAUCUGAUUCUGAUUCCAGACCCCCAUUUCCCCCAACCAAACACUUCCUCAAAGAAUUUAAAUCAACAUCCGAAACUUGGACUUUGUCCAAACCUGAUUUGAAGAUCCUCCAUGGUCCAAAGCCACAAGUGAUGGAUUACAUUUGGUUAACUAGGACUUGGCCUAGUUAUCAUACUCUUUUGCUUAGCAACCACAUGUUUUGUUUUAAAUAUUGGGUGGUGCAUCCUCAAGUUGAGAGACAUUGGUAAUUAAAGUGAAGGUGUGUCUCCCUUGUUUUCUCUCAGAAAAAAAGAAAAUUAAGAAAAAUCUUGCUCCUACCACAACUUUGCUAUGUUAACAUGCAGCAUUAUGCAAUUUCAUAAAGUUUAUUGAGGCACUAAACAAACCAUUGGCCUAACAAGUUGCACGAUCUCCAUAUAUUAAAUUUUUAUUUCAAACUUUCUCUCAAAGAUAUUUUAAAAGUAUGAGUGUAAACCUAACAGUCACGGUUCAAUUUGAUUACUUAUCUAAUAAAAAAAAAAAAUUAGACUCUAUAGACUUCAAAUCAAAUUUUCAUGUGCUGCAGACCAUAUGACAACUCCAAGAAGUUUGAAGAUCAGAGAGGGUGUUAAUCACUUGGUGGAGGAAAAACAAAAAUCUAAGAAAUCAUAUAUGCAACAUAUUUUGCAUAUUGUCUUAAAGAAACUAGAUUUAUGAACCUAAAAGUGGAGUUGCUGAUUGCCCUCCAGUCAACACGCAAGUGCCUUGUCUUACCACUUUCAGUCAUAUUGGUAUUGCACCUGGACUCAUAUAUCUCCACUUUAAAAUCUUGCCAAACUCCUUCAGGCUAAUGUGGUAUUAAGACAAUCUUGCAGGGGGUGUAAUCAGUAGAAUGGUGUUAUCAGGAUAGACGAUAUCACCCCAUGAGUCAUCGGAUCAUGCAACCUUCCGAAUGAAAGCUUUUAAUCUUCUAACACAUCUAGCUCAUGAUCACUAUAUUCUGAAGAAAUAGACAAAACCCCCAUACUUCCCUUGACCCCUGAAAUUGGACAGGCAGCAUGUUGUUCACAAAAAGCUCAUAAUGGAACUUGCGUAGUAGGAAGGAAUGUUGCAGACACAUAUUGGGAUGAAAUCAAUACAUUGUCUUCUGCCACCACUGGCCACCUUUUCUUUCUCUUGGCGAUUGCCACCUGCAGUCUGGAUUGUGUUUCAAUCUUGUAUACCAUUCAGAGUUGCUCCUCGAGUCUCUCACUUUCAAUGUGUUGGACAAAGUAAAGCAUGCAUAAUUGUUUUUAUUUGUCAGCUUUUUUUAAGGUAGAUAUAGUCAUAUUGUAGUUUUAUUUCAUGCUGUUGUAAACUGCAAGCUAGCUACUUGCAUCUUCACAAAAAUUAUGCUCAACGCAUCAGUCUUAAUCAUCAUCAUCAUUGGUCCUAUUAUUUCCCCUUUUGAGAGGAAUGUCUUCCAUUAUUUUUGCUUCUUAUCUUUGUUAAGGUACUAGUUUUGGCUCUGAACGCAGUGGUGUGGUUUUGGGAGUCCUUCCCCAUGGCUGAUCUCUGCUCUUCCAUCUCUCAAUUCAUUUAGAACAACAUUAAACUGUGUAAGGAUUCUUUGGCAAGGUUUUGCAGGGAUGAUCCUUCAAAGGCUCCUGUACAGCCUGCAGGAAAAUUCCACAUGGUGAGACCUUGCUCGGAAGGACCAGACAAGCGGUGUUGCGUUCGCAUAAAAAGGUUAUCCGCAAAGAGUAUUUUCUGCAGACCAUCCUGACUCACCAUCCAGCACACUUGUCCUCAGGCCCUUCUAAUAGAUUUGCAGCCAGAUUCUCUGUUUCAUGUGUAAUUUUUAGCUGGGACCCCAAAGAACCUUGGUAGGCAAGAUUUGUUGGAACCGCAAAAAUCUGGGGGCUUAUUUGGAUGACUGGGUUUAAAAUUUCAUAAAAAUCAUAGAUUUGGACCAA